This 379-nucleotide ribosomal RNA is filed under the name uncultured bacterium. RNAcentral describes it as "bacterial SSU rRNA". It matches the Rfam family "Bacterial small subunit ribosomal RNA", at positions 521 to 898 of the family's 1533-position model. The record is from RNAcentral.
UAAUACGUAGGUGGCAAGCGUUGUCCGGAUUUAUUGGGCGUAAAGCGCGCACAGGCGGUCCUUUAAGUCUGAUGUGAAAUCUUGCGGCUCAACCGCAAGCGGUCAUUGGAAACUGGGGGACUUGAGUGCAGAAGAGGAAAGCGGAAUUCCACGUGUAGCGGUGAAAUGCGUAGAGAUGUGGAGGAACACCAGUGGCGAAGGCGGCUUUCUGGUCUGUAACUGACGCUGAGGCGCGAAAGCGUGGGGAGCAAACAGGAUUAGAUACCCUGGUAGUCCACGCCGUAAACGAUGAGUGCUAAGUGUUGGAGGGUUUCCGCCCUUCAGUGCUGCAGCUAACGCAUUAAGCACUCCGCCUGGGGAGUACGGUCGCAAGACUGAA